CAAUACGAGCGGCAGACGGGUGAGUAACGCGUGGGAAUCUACCCAUCUCUACGGAACAACUCCGGGAAACUGGAGCUAAUACCGUAUACGUCCUUUUGGAGAAAGAUUUAUCGGAGAUGGAUGAGCCCGCGUUGGAUUAGCUAGUUGGUGGGGUAAUGGCCUACCAAGGCGACGAUCCAUAGCUGGUCUGAGAGGAUGAUCAGCCACACUGGGACAGAGACACGGCCCAGACUCCUACGGGAGGCAGCAGCA
RNAcentral lists this ribosomal RNA (252 nucleotides) under uncultured Mesorhizobium sp. RNAcentral's name for it is "partial 16S ribosomal RNA". It matches the Rfam family "Bacterial small subunit ribosomal RNA", at positions 87 to 355 of the family's 1533-position model. The record is from RNAcentral. Lineage: Bacteria; Pseudomonadati; Pseudomonadota; Alphaproteobacteria; Hyphomicrobiales; Phyllobacteriaceae.